This 1561-nucleotide ribosomal RNA is filed under the name Placidiopsis cartilaginea. Its description in RNAcentral is "eukaryotic LSU rRNA". It matches the Rfam family "Eukaryotic large subunit ribosomal RNA", at positions 40 to 1444 of the family's 3401-position model. The record is from RNAcentral. Lineage: Eukaryota; Fungi; Ascomycota; Eurotiomycetes; Verrucariales; Verrucariaceae.
AUAUCAAUAAGCGGAGGAAAAGAAACCAACAGGGAUUGCCUCAGUAACGGCGAGUGAAGCGGCAACAGCUCAAAUUUGAAAUCUGGCUCCCUGCGGGGGUCCGAGUUGUAAUUUGUAGAGGAUGCUUCGGGCAAGGUCGCGGUCUAAUGUGCUUGGAACAGCGAGUCAGAGAGGGUGAGAAUCCCGUCUGGGAUCGCGCGCCGCGUCCGUGUGAAGCUCCUUCGACGAGUCGAGUUGUUUGGGAAUGCAGCUCUAAAUGGGUGGUAAAUUUCAUCUAAAGCUAAAUACCGGCCAGAGACCGAUAGCGCACAAGUAGAGUGAUCGAAAGAUGAAAAGCACUUUGAAAAGAGAGUUAAACAGUAUGUGAAAUUGUUGAAAGGGAAGCGCUUGCAGUCAGACUUGGGCGUCGCGGUUCCCCCGGCCUUGCCGGCCGGGUCACUCCGCGACGUCCAGGCCAACAUCGGUCCGGGUGGUCGGUGAAAGACGCCGGGAAUGUAUCUACCUUCGGGUCGACUUAUAGCCCGGGGUGCCAUGCGGCCUACCUGGACCGAGGAACGCGCUUUGGCUCGGAUGUUGGCGUAAUGGUUGCAAGCGGCCCGUCUUGAAACACGGACCAAGGAGUCUAACAUCUAUGCGAGUGUUUGGGUGUCAAACCCCUACGCGGAAUGAAAGUGAACGGAGGUAAGAACCCGUCCGACGGGUGCAUUAUCGACCGAUCCUGAUGUCUUCGGAUGGAUUUGAGUAAGAGCAUAGCUGUUGGGACCCGAAAGAUGGUGAACUAUGCCUGAAUAGGGUGAAGCCAGAGGAAACUCUGGUGGAGGCUCGCAGCGGUUCUGACGUGCAAAUCGAUCGUCAAAUUUGGGCAUAGGGGCGAAAGACUAAUCGAACCAUCGGGCCAGGUGGUUCCUCCGCAGUCCCCUCGGGGCAACAUCGUCCUUCUGGCGGGGUCCGAAACCCGCAGCAGCCGUGGGCUGUCCACAGACUAGGAGACGGUGGUCAUCUCCCCCGGAGAUGAUGAUGAUAUAGUCGGUCCGGUUAAGGCGUUUUAACCGGGUCGGACGCUGGUAGCUGGUUCCUGCCGAAGUUUCCCUCAGGAUAGCAGUAACGUUUUCAGUUUUAUGAGGUAAAGCGAAUGAUUAGAGGCCUUGGGGUUGCAACAACCUUAACCUAUUCUCAAACUUUAAAUAUGUAAGAAGUCCUUGUUGCUUCGGUGAACGUGGACAGUUGAAUGCACCGUUACUAGUGGGCCAUUUUUGGUAAGCAGAACUGGCGAUGCGGGAUGAACCGAACGCGAGGUUAAGGUGCCGGAAUGCACGCUCAUCAGACACCACAAAAGGUGUCAAUGCAUCCAGACAGCCGGACGGUGGCCAUGGAAGUCGGAAUCCGCUUAGGAGUGUGUAACAACUCACCGGCCGAAUGCAUUGGCCCUGAAAAUGGAUGGCGCUUAAGCGUGCUACCUAUACCUCGCCGUUAGGGUUGAAAUGAUGCCCUAACGAGUAGGCAGGCGUGGGGGUUCGUGACGAAGCCUCGGGGGUGACCCUGGGUCGAACGACCCCCAGUG